This 2113-nucleotide ribosomal RNA is filed under the name Salmonella enterica subsp. enterica serovar Oranienburg. RNAcentral's name for it is "partial 23S ribosomal RNA". It matches the Rfam family "Bacterial large subunit ribosomal RNA", at positions 637 to 2738 of the family's 2925-position model. Lineage: Bacteria; Pseudomonadati; Pseudomonadota; Gammaproteobacteria; Enterobacterales; Enterobacteriaceae. The record is from RNAcentral.
GUAGCGAGGUUAACCGUAUAGGGGAGCCGUAGAGAAAUCGAGUCUUAAUAGGGCGUUUAGUUGCUGGGUAUAGACCCGAAACCAGGCGAUCUAUCCAUGAGCAGGUUGAAGGUUGGGUAACACUAACUGGAGGACCGAACCCACUGUCGUUGAAAAGCCAGGGGAUGACUUGUGGAUAGGGGUGAAAGGCUAAUCAAGCCUGGUGAUAGCUGGUUCUCCCCGAAAGCUAUUUAGGUAGCGCCUCGGACGAAUACCAUAGGGGGUAGAGCACUGUUUCGGCUAGGGGGUCAUCCCGACUUACCAAACCGAUGCAAACUCCGAAUACCUAUGAGUACUAUCCGGGAGACAGACUGCGGGUGCUAACGUCCGUAGUCAAGAGGAAAACAAUCCAGACCGCCAGCUAAGGCCCCAAAAUCAUAGUUAAGUGGGAAACGAUGUGGGAAGGCAUAGACAGCUAGGAGGUUGGCUUAGAAGCAGCCACCCUUUAAAGAAAGCGUAAUAGCUCACUAGUCGAGUCGGCCUGCGCGGAAGAUGUAACGGGGCUAAAACUAUGUGCCGAAGCUGCGGAUUUGACAUUAGUCAAGUGGUAGGGGAGCGUUCUGUAAGCCGAUGAAGGUGUAUUGAGAAGUAUGCUGGAGGUAUCAGAAGUGCGAAUGCUGACGUGAGUAACGACAAAACGGGUGAAAAACCCGUUCGCCGAAAGACCAAGGGUUCCAGUCCAACGUUAAUCGGGGCUGGGUGAGUCGACCCCUAAGGCGAGGCCGAAAGGCGUAGUCGAUGGGAAAUUGGUUAAUAUUCCAAUACUUCUGUGUAAUGCGAUGAGAGGACGGAGAAGGUUAAGUCAGCCUGGCGUUGGUUGUCCAGGUGGAAGGAUGUAGGUAUGUAUCUUAGGCAAAUCCGGGGUACUCUAUACUGAGAUCCGAUAGCAAGCUGUACUUGUACAGUGAAGUGGCUGAUACCAUGCUUCCAGGAAAAGUCUCUAAGCUUCAGUUACACAGGAAUCGUACCCGAAACCGACACAGGUGGUCAGGUCGAGUAGACCAAGGCGCUUGAGAGAACUCUGCUGAAGGAACUAGGCAAAAUGGUACCGUAACUUCGGGAGAAGGUACGCUGUUGUUGGUGAUGGAACUUGCUUCCUGAGCUGACGACAGCCGCAGAAACCAGGCCGCUGCAACUGUUUAUUAAAAACAUAGCACUCUGCAAACACGAAAGUGGACGUAUAGGGUGUGAUGCCUGCCCGGUGCUGGAAGGUUAAUUGAUGGGGUUAGCGUAAGCGAAGCUCUUGAUCGAAGCCCCAGUAAACGGCGGCCGUAACUAUAACGGUCCUAAGGUAGCGAAAUUCCUUGUCGGGUAAGUUCCGACCUGCACGAAUGGCAUAAUGAUGGCGGCGCUGUCUCCAGCAGAGGCUCAGUGAAAUCGAAAUCGCUGUGAAGAUGCAGUGUACCCGCGGCUAGACGGAAAGACCCCGUGAACCUUUACUGCAGCUUGACACUGAACUUUGACCUUACUUGUGUAGGAUAGGUGGGAGGCUUUGAAGUUGGAACGCUAGUUCCAAUGGAGCCGUCCUUGAAAUACCACCCUGGUAAUGUUGAGGUUCUAACUCUGUCCCGUUAUCCGGGACGAGGACCGUGUCUGGUGGGUAGUUUGACUGGGGCGGUCUCCUCCUAAAGAGUAACGGAGGAGUACGAAGGUGCGCUCAGCGUGGUCGGAAAUCACGCGUAGAGUAUAAAGGCAAAAGCGCGCUUAACUGCGAGACCCACAAGUCGAGCAGGUACGAAAGUAGGUCUUAGUGAUCCGGUGGUUCUGUAUGGAAGGGCCAUCGCUCAACGGAUAAAAGGUACUCUGGGGAUAACAGGCUGAUACCGCCCAAGAGUUCAUAUCGACGGCGGUGUUUGGCACCUCGAUGUCGGCUCAUCUCAUCCUGGGGCUGAAGCAGGUCCCAAGGGUAUGGCUGUUCGCCAUUUAAAGAGGUACGCGAGCUGGGUUUAGAACGUCGUGAGACAGUUCGGUCCCUAUCUACCGUGGGCGCUGGAAAUUUGAGAGGAUCUGCUCCUAGUACGAGAGGACCAGAGUGGACGAACCUCUGGUGUACCGGUUGUGACGCCAGUCGCAU